AACGAACGCUGGCGGCAUGCCUAACACAUGCAAGUCGAACGAGACCUUCGGGUCUAGUCGCGCACGGGUUCGUAAGGCGUGGGAACCUGCCCUUAGGUUCGGAAUAACUCCCCGAAUGGGGUGCUAAUACCGGAUAAUGUCUUCGGACCAAUGAUUUAUCGCCUUUGGAUGGUCCCUCGUUAGAUUCGCUAGUUGGUAGGGUAAUAGCCUACCAAGGCGACGAUCCAUAGCUGGUCUGUGAGGAUGAUCAACCACACUGGGACGGAGACACGGCCCAGAAUCCUGCGGGAUGGAGGAGGGGGGAAUAUUGGAACACGGGGUAAAGGCUGAUCCAGCCAUGCCGUGGGAGUGAUGAAGGCAGUAAGGAUCGAAAGCGUUUUUAACCGGGAUGAUAAUGACAGUACCGAGAGAAUAAGCUCCGGCUAACUCCGUG
This 433-nucleotide ribosomal RNA is filed under the name uncultured bacterium. Its description in RNAcentral is "partial 16S ribosomal RNA". It matches the Rfam family "Bacterial small subunit ribosomal RNA", at positions 29 to 507 of the family's 1533-position model. The record is from RNAcentral.